Molecule: transfer RNA, 33 nt
Filed under: Fallopia ciliinervis
Lineage: Eukaryota; Viridiplantae; Streptophyta; Magnoliopsida; Caryophyllales; Polygonaceae
Also listed under: 4 other names
Description: Fallopia multiflora var. ciliinervis partial tRNA-Leu
Source: RNAcentral
AUCCUGACAACAAUGAAAUUUAUAGUAAGAGGA